This 558-nucleotide ribosomal RNA is filed under the name Streptomyces sp. 434A07. Its description in RNAcentral is "bacterial SSU rRNA". It matches the Rfam family "Bacterial small subunit ribosomal RNA", at positions 93 to 664 of the family's 1533-position model. Lineage: Bacteria; Bacillati; Actinomycetota; Actinomycetes; Kitasatosporales; Streptomycetaceae. The record is from RNAcentral.
UAGUGGCGAACGGGUGAGUAACACGUGGGCAAUCUGCCCUUCACUCUGGGACAAGCCCUGGAAACGGGGUCUAAUACCGGAUACAACCACUGACCUCAUGGUCGGGUGGUGGAAAGCUCCGGCGGUGAAGGAUGAGCCCGCGGCCUAUCAGCUUGUUGGUGAGGUAAUGGCUCACCAAGGCGACGACGGGUAGCCGGCCUGAGAGGGCGACCGGCCACACUGGGACUGAGACACGGCCCAGACUCCUACGGGAGGCAGCAGUGGGGAAUAUUGCACAAUGGGCGAAAGCCUGAUGCAGCGACGCCGCGUGAGGGAUGACGGCCUUCGGGUUGUAAACCUCUUUCAGCAGGGAAGAAGCGAAAGUGACGGUACCUGCAGAAGAAGCGCCGGCUAACUACGUGCCAGCAGCCGCGGUAAUACGUAGGGCGCAAGCGUUGUCCGGAAUUAUUGGGCGUAAAGAGCUCGUAGGCGGCUUGUCACGUCGGGUGUGAAAGCCCGGGGCUUAACCCCGGGUCUGCAUUCGAUACGGGCUAGCUAGAGUGUGGUAGGGGAGAUCGG